RNAcentral lists this ribosomal RNA (304 nucleotides) under uncultured bacterium. Its description in RNAcentral is "partial 16S ribosomal RNA". It matches the Rfam family "Bacterial small subunit ribosomal RNA", at positions 506 to 807 of the family's 1533-position model. The record is from RNAcentral.
CAGCAGCAGCCGCGGUAAUACGAAGGGGGCUAGCGUUGUUCGGAUUUACUGGGCGUAAAGGGCGCGUAGGCGGACUGAUAAGUCAGGGGUGAAAUCCCAAGGCUCAACCUUGGAACUGCCUUUGAUACUGUUUGUCUUGAGUUCGAGAGAGGUAAGUGGAACUGCGAGUGUAGAGGUGAAAUUCGUAGAUAUUCGCAAGAACACCAGUGGCGAAGGCGGCUUACUGGCUCGAAACUGACGCUGAGGCGCGAAAGCGUGGGGAGCAAACAGGAUUAGAUACCCGUGUAGUCCCUGUCUCUUAUAC